AACAGGAUUAGAUACCCUGGUAGUCCACGCCCUAAACGAUGUCAACUGGUUGUUGGGAGGGUUUCUUCUCAGUAACGUAGCUAACGCGUGAAGUUGACCGCCUGGGGAGUACGGCCGCAAGGUUGAAACUCAGAGGAAUUGACGGGGACCCGCACAAGCGGUGGAUGAUGUGGUUUAAUUCGAUGCAACGCGAAAAACCUUACCUACCCUUGACAUGCCAGGAAUCUUGCAGAGAUGUGAGAGUGCUCGAAAGAGAACCUGGACACAGGUGCUGCAUGGCCGUCGUCAGCUCGUGUCGUGAGAUGUUGGGUUAAGUCCCGCAACGAGCGCAACCCUUGUCAUUAGUUGCUACGAAAGGGCACUCUAAUGAGACUGCCGGUGACAAACCGGAGGAAGGUGGGGAUGACGUCAGGUCAUCAUGGCCCUUAUGGGUAGGGCUACACACGUCAUACAAUGGCCGGGACAGAGGGCUGCCAACCCGCGAGGGGGAGCUAAUCCCAGAAACCCGGUCGUAGUCCGGAUCGCAGUCUGCAACUCGACUGCGUGAAGUCGGAAUCGCUAGUAAUCGCGGAUCAGCUUGCCGCGGUGAAUACGUUCCCGGGUCUUGUACACACCGCCCGUCACACCAUGGGAGCGGGUUCUGCCAGAAGUAGUUAGCCUAACCGCAAGGAGGGCGAUUACCACGGCAGGGUUCGUGACUGGGGUGAAGUCGUAACAAGGUAACC
Molecule: ribosomal RNA, 725 nt
Filed under: uncultured bacterium
Lineage: Bacteria
Description: bacterial SSU rRNA
Rfam family: Bacterial small subunit ribosomal RNA
Source: RNAcentral